Oxyura jamaicensis (ruddy duck) is the source of this 5499-nucleotide long non-coding RNA. RefSeq lists it as uncharacterized. The record is from RefSeq and is a predicted model, not a curated record. Lineage: Eukaryota; Metazoa; Chordata; Aves; Anseriformes; Anatidae. The transcript has 4 exons.
GCUGUGGUUUUAAUAGUCUCCCUUCAGCUUUCCUCCCAGGUUGACGAGAACUAACAGAGGAAAUAACGUGCAGUUUUAAAGGGCAGUGAUCAAGGCAGCAAUCGCGUUCUAGCUGAGAAACUUCCGGAUAUUCAGGGAGCAAGCUGUAUUUUUGCAGCGCUUGUUUUGGGAGGACUGCAGCUAUACCACCGAGAGGCUGAAGCAAAUUUUCUUAAUGUUUGAUUUCACUUUCCUGAUGUUUGAGAAGGUGUCUAGGAAGCGAGGUACCAUUCAGCAGUGCCGUGCUGCCAGAAAUGCUCGCUGAGCCCGUGCGAGGAGGAAAUCUCACCGGAACUGCUGGCGUUACCCCAGAAAGACCCUCUGCAGACUGACUCCACGUCCUCAGAGCUGAUCUCAUCGGGGCCUACCAAACACAUUAACGACGUCGAAAGUAGCCUACUUUAAGAGGAAAUAUGCAGAAGAAGAACAUUUACAUCAAGAUUGCCAUGAGUAUUGUCCAAAACACCUGAUACUACCCGAGGACCGGACUUGUAUUCUAAAACUUUCUCUCCAGAAACUCCGAUUCCUGGAAGACCCUGAAGCCUACCUCCGUAGGUCUGUAUUAAUUAACAAUCUGUUGAGGAAGAUUCACCUAGAGACAGAGAGGGAGAGCUAUGAAUACUUUAAGGAGGCUCCAUGUUAUAGGACUGCUUACUCUGACGCACGAAAACGGCUGAAGUUUAUGGUACAGGAGUGCUGUUCCCAGUCGCUCUAUUAUGAAGAGCUGCAUUCGUAUCGUAUCGUGCCUUAUUCUGCAGAGAACGCCGUUUACGGAAUGGGCUACACAAGCAGCCACUUGGAGCAAAAUUCUCAAUUGCUUAUUUAUAAAAUGAAUUAAAGUAGCUGUUAGACCCACCUAUGUUUGUUUCUGAAUGCUUGAACUGCUUAUUGAGGUGUUAAGAUGAGGCACUAAUUGCAGAGAUACUUAAUGAUCAAGCCGGGUGCGGUAGGAGCUGAGCGGAUGGCACUUUGAAACCCGGUGUUAACCCCGUGGCUAUGAAGUACCUUGGCACACACACAGAGCUGGUGCAAUACACAGGUCCUUACCCACCGGGGCUGUGUGCAGCGUGUUGCGUAGAAGCAAAGCCGCAUUUAAGUUCUCUGUGUGUAGAUACAGACAUUGAAAAUCACUUUGCAGUUAAAUUCUGCCAUCUCUGGCAGAAGGGAAGCCCCCAGAGUAGCAGAGUAGUCUAACAGUGAGGAGUAAAAAGCAAGUUAUUUACAUAAAGGAAUAGACAGAAAAUUUCUCUGAGGAAAUGUUUGGAAUAUGAAGGAGUCAGUGCCAAAGGAAACAGCCUUUUGCUUAGGAUUUUCAGAGACUAACUCGCUUGCUACUUACAAGACACUCUAUACUGAGAUUUACAAGGUUAUUAUUAUUUUUUUUUAGAAUAAUUGCAUUCACCUUUUUACAUAUUAUUAUCUCUUAGCUGGUAUCUAUUUUGCUAUUUUAAUGCAGAACAGAAUGACUCACAGGAAAAAUUGUUUCUUCAGCCCGCCAUCAGUGUUUCCUUAGCUUCAUUUGAUUCUUCCCCUAGUUGUUUCCCUGAUACUUUUCUGCAUGCUAAUUUGCUGUUUGGCCGGAGGUUCACAUUGGUGCUAGGGAAUAGACAGUCAUUUAUUUUUACGUGGAAUAAACAAGGCAGAAAAACAACCAUAACUCCUAUCGAUAGAGAAUGAAUGUACGUGACAGAUGCUAGUAAAGCCUCAGAGAUUCUCCUGAUGAAGCUACUCGGCAUUCGUAAUAGUGUUUCAGGUCAAGUAAAAUGUCUAAUUUCAAUCUGGGAAUUAACCUUAGAAUAUGUAAAUCUAUAUUUCGCAAGCUAUGAAAUGACAUGAGAGAUGUUCAGCAAAUCAAUGACUACAAGUGGAAAGUUUUAUAGCUGCCAAAGCUAUAUCACGAAAAUACCAAAGAGUAAUAUAAGGGAAAAGAUGAUGCUCCAGCAAUGGGGUCAAAAGCAAAGAUUGCACUAUAACCUGUGGAAAUGUGAUUGAUGAGCCUGUAAAUUAUCAGUUACUGAUACACCUGCUGUUCACUGGAGGGUGGCUCGCAACCCAGAAUCACUGACCAUAUACGCAGAAUGGUCCAAAGCCUGUCCCAUAGGGCUUUUGGCUUCCAGUGAAGAAAUUGGCUUUGCCUGGCUGGCUAUCACCCCCGCAGCUUUAAAGCAAAGUAAGUAACAGCACACUCUCAGCUGGAGGCAGAUAUGUAUCUAAGAACCUGAUUUAAAAAUAUAUAUAUAUUUUGAAAGGCUUUUUUCAUGCAGGUCUGGCCAAUGCUAUUGCUGAAGCAUUAUGGAGUACGAACAAAUACCAUUGCUCAACAGGGAUGUGUUUAGUGUAGGAUUCCUCCUGUAACCCUGCCCGGAGCAUCUUAGUCGUGUGUGUUGCACGUAUCAUUGCAGCUGUCAGGCACGUGUUCAUGGUGCGGGAAAAAAAGAUAGGAAGGCGAGAGCAGAAGGUGUGAAGAGCAAAGUCAACUCCUACAUCAGCAGUCGGAAGCAGGACAGGUUUAGGGGAUAGAAAGGAACGGUUAAAUACAACUUUUUAAUGAGAAAAAAAAUGCAACAGCUUAUUUCAAAACAAGGAUAGCCUGCAAAGUGGGGAAAACGAACAGCACAGGUAUUGCAGUAAGGCUGGAAAAACAGGGCAGUGCUGUUUUUGGGAGGUUGUUACGAAUAUUCAGGCUGUGAGAAGCAGCUUUUGUUUUUGUGCUGAGGCAGGGCAUAUUUCUUUGCCUCUUCCAAAAGGUGUCAUCAGCCCCUUGCCGUGCAGGACAGGGGGCUUUGCCUCCCUUCCAAAAAACUUGUGCUGGGCCCUGUUUGGGGAGCCUCCAGCUAUGAGGGUCUGUGCCCAGCUUGACAGGGGCCAGCUGAGAGAGGCCGGCUAAUUGCUAAUUGCCAGCUGGGUGCAGCAGCCCUCAUACCACAAGCAGAAGCUGGAAGCCAACCCUGUGCUGCACAGGAGGGGGCUGAGAGCUGAUGGGUGCCACGAGAGGUGCUGUGAGCUCCUUGGGAGGUCCUGGCCCCUGCUGGCCCCUGGGAUCCUCCCGGGGACACAGACCUCAGGAGGCUGCUGGGUGCUACAGGGAAACUGUUCCUCUUGUCUGGUAUUUCAAAAUACGUAAUUUGCUGCUCUGAAGUGAUCCGAUUUAUACACUUUUUUGUUCUUUGUGUGUUUCUGCCUGAACUCAUAAUGAUCUAGCUACUAUAUGAAAUGCUAAAAUGCUUUUGUUUUACCUCUGACCUGCUUUAUUAUAUUCAUAUGAUGGUUCUGGCCUGAAAAACAAACUUUUUACGUAAAAAUUGUUGCAAUGGAGUAAAAAAGCUCAGUAGGAUUAAAGCCUUUAACCUCACCUGAAAAAAAAAAAAAAAAAAGCAGUGUCCCUGUCAGAUUCAGCUCUGAACACUAAUUUCCUUGCCUGCAAGGGGCAGGUACUUUCUUGCCUAUUGAAAGCUUCUCUGAUAACGCGCUGUCUACUGAACAGGUACAACAGAUGCAGAUCUGGAUCAGAUAACAAAACUGCUUGGGCUACCCAUGAAAGAGGGUAAUGUUUUACUCGUGUUUUUCUCAUGUGUUGCUUUCUUGAACAAAAUACACUGUCUGAUUUUUAAUUUUAUUUAUUUCUACUUGCUCUAGGAGCUGUUAAAAGAGAUCAUUUAUUUCUAGAAAACUCUGGUUGACUUUUUGAUAUGAAAUUGAGUUAAAAGUCCACAAUUCUAACUUAUUUUGAGUCUACACAAGUUUUUGUUGCCUUCUGCUUCACCCGGUGGUUUGUGCUGUUGUAAAGUGGGUCUGAAACAUUCAACUUCAGUGCUUAAGAAACAUAAUUUUCAGAGUGAUAAAGAAGUAGAAAGGUGCAAUUACAUUGCAAGUUGCUCCCGAAAUAUUUAAUUUGACAGUUUUUUGAAUUAUGUGCUGAUUUUAUCAUUUAGUUGCCAAGCUACCAGGUACCGGCGUUUUUAAUACAGCUUCCUACAGUGAUUUUCCUGUUCUGGGGUUUGUAGCUGCAAUUCAGCUCUUCUAGCUUCUGAUGUGUGAAUCUGUCUGUAGGUGGUCAAAUUUCGGUGAUAGAUAUAUAUAUAUGUAUUCUACUAUGACUGCGGUAGGAGCUCCCACACACGGGCUAUGUUUGCACUGGAUGUAAAGAAAGUCCUUCCUUCCCUUCAACUCGGUUGCCUUGGAGAUAGCGCGUUCAUCAGAGACGACGCGGGGCGACACGGACAGAGCUGGUAACAGAUAGCUGGUGACUUUGCCAAGGACUGGCUUAGGACAAUCCAUUGUCAUCUCGGAACAUGGCUGUAAGUAGCGUUUCAAAGAGUUACGUUUUCUUGUGCCGCUUUCCCCAACCUGGCUGGGAACGCCGGACCUGAGCAGCACCCGGUGCCGCCCGGAGCAGCAGCGGCUGUGGCAGGAGGCAGCUUGGCCCAGCAGGAAAUCAGCUUUGGUGCAGACAUCCCGCAAUAUUAGGGCCCUGAUCCUGCAAACACUUGGGUUCUUGCCCGAGUGUCUUGGCACGCAUCCUCCGGCUGCAGCCAGGGAGGCUCCUCGUGUGCUCAACGCUCAGCAUGUGUACGGGCGAGCAGGGCUGGGGCUGCCCUGCACCACAGACGUGCUCCUCAGUUGCCUAAUUAUCAGUGAAAAGUGAUCAUAGAGCUGCCGCUUGAGUUCUUGGAUACGUUUAUAUUGCACUGUAAAUGGAACUUUUGUUUUCGAUGAAUGUGUUGAGUAUACAUACGGACUAUCGUGCCUUAAAGUCCCAUCCUCAUACGAGCCUUUGUACAUGUCCUGUAAAAACCGCAGCCCGUGUUUAGCUGAUAACUCUGUGCACUCCACGCAGAUCUGGCUCCGUGCUCAGCAGGGCCUUGGGAAGCACGACCCUGACCCCAAAGUUUGCCAUGAACACAGAGGGCGUUUGGCAAUUCCCUCUUCUCGUCUUUUUUAGACUGCAUUCCUCCUCGUGGUUCACGAAAUUUCUCCUUUUUCCAGUUUCUGCCAUAACCGGGUUCUGCGUUACCUGCAAUGCCAGCGCCCCUCCCGCGAACUCAAAGUUGUAAAAAAAAAAAAAAAAAAAAAAAAAAAAAAAAUUGUCUCCAGCUUUUCAAUGCCAUCUGUACAGCGCUCUCUCAGCAGGGAAUCACAAAUGCAGAUAAUAAUGUUGUCAAGUAUAUCAUCGUAUAUUUGACAUGGUUAACAAAGCAGGAAAGGGAACACCUAUUUCUGCUGAAAUGCAUGAGCCUGCAUUAUGGUAAAUACAUGGUGAUUAUACACCACUUAAUUGGAAUAAUACCGACUGGUUCUAUGAUAAAAAAAAAAAUGGCUUUUUAAUGUUUAAAAUUACUUGGGACCUGAUUAAAGGUUUUUAUGAAAUUGUUUUCUAAAGUGAAUAGUAGAAAAAUGUAAAUGUAUUUUAAAUAUACAUAUAAUGUGCAUGUUUAUUAAUAAAGAUCUAUUUCUAUUGAA